CGAAUCCGUGGCCCCCUUUCAACACAAGAUUGAUAUACAUCAUACACCUAUGUAAUAUAAAAAGAUAUAAAUAAAAAAUUUAAGAUCGAAAUCCAACAUCCAAAAUCCCUUCUUACUGCUACUUUCCAUUUUCUCUCUUUUGCUUUUCUCGGGAAAGUUCGGUUCUUACCAAGAAAAAUUUUUCCCCUGGAAUCAAACAACACCGAAGACCGAACCAACACUCUGAUGCGAAUCGCUUCAUUCUCACAUGGCUCUACUCUUAAUUUAGUCUCAUGACGAUCGUUGGUAUAUGCCGCCCUAUGUGUUCCCCUUGGGAUCAACCCAUGGAUCGCUGCCUCGGAUUCUUUCCAUGCCUCAUUGACCCUGCUCGGAGGUCUGCGCUGUGCGUGAAGUUGGUCUUGGUGACUGUCCAUUUGGUUUAUAUUGGCGUUCUCUUCUUAAUUGAUGGAGAUUUGAUAGAAAAGACUAAGAAGGAAUCGAUGUAUGUUUUUUUUUCCCACUUUUAAGUCACUGUAUUCUAUUUUUUGUAUCUUUUUUUUACCAUACUGAAGCUUCAACUCAGUGGAACAUUAAUGGGUUUAAUGGAACAUUAUUUGUACUUGACGAUUUAUUCAAUAGACCAUCUAAUGAAAUGAAAUAGAUUAAGAUA
Long non-coding RNA from Arachis stenosperma, 649 nucleotides. RefSeq lists it as uncharacterized. NCBI's taxonomy places the organism in Eukaryota, Viridiplantae, Streptophyta, Magnoliopsida, Fabales, Fabaceae. The record is from RefSeq and is a predicted model, not a curated record. The transcript has 2 exons.